This 279-nucleotide unclassified non-coding RNA is filed under the name plant metagenome. Its description in RNAcentral is "partial contains small subunit ribosomal RNA, internal transcribed spacer 1, and 5.8S ribosomal RNA". The record is from RNAcentral.
UUUCCGUUGGUGAACCUGCGGAAGGAUCAUUAUUGUAUAACCGAGUUGCGAAGCCUGACGCUCCCCCGAAACGUCUUGCCCGCGCGAGUGCCCUCACACACAUCACUCUCAACCCUAUGUCCACCCACGCGCGGGUGCCCCCUUGGCUUGUUAGGUGGGGGGACUACGUUUUAACUCACACUUUGCAUGCAGUCUGCUGUGUAUUUUCUGUUUUUGCGAUAACGCACUCAAUCCAAGUUUCAACGACGGAUGUUUUGGCUCCCGCAUCGAUGCAGCACG